GGAGGAUCCGAGCGUUAUCCGGAUUUAUUGGGUUUAAAGGGUGCGUAGGCGGUUUAUUAAGUCAGGGGUGAAAGACGGCAGCUUAACUGUCGCAGUGCCUUUGAUACUGAUGAACUUGAAUGUACUUGAGGUAGGCGGAAUGUGACAAGUAGCGGUGAAAUGCAUAGAUAUGUCACAGAACACCAAUUGCGAAGGCAGCUUACUAAAGUAUGAUUGACGCUGAGGCACGAAAGCGUGGGGAUCAAACAGGAUUAGAUACCCUGGUAGUCCACGCCCUAAACGAUGAACACUCGAUGUUGGCGAUAUACGGUCAGCGUCUAAGCGAAAGCGUUAAGUGUUCCACCUGGGGAGUACGCCCGCAAGGGUG
This 367-nucleotide ribosomal RNA is filed under the name uncultured organism. RNAcentral describes it as "bacterial SSU rRNA". It matches the Rfam family "Bacterial small subunit ribosomal RNA", at positions 527 to 896 of the family's 1533-position model. The record is from RNAcentral.